AUGGAUCACCUCGAGAUUCCCACUACAGAUUACGUCUAUGCUCCUUCAAAAGAAAAAAUCGACAAAGCAUUGGAUUUCAUCCACAAAAAUGCAACAGAAGGUGGUAGUACUUUGGUCCACUGCAAGGCAGGAAGGGCACGAAGCGCUACCAUAGUUCUAUGCUAUUUGAUUAAGUACAAGAAGAUGACUCCCGAAGCAGCUUUGGCUCGUGCGAAGUCCGUAAGAACUCGAGUGAAAUUGGCAACAGCUCAAUGGCAGGCUGUCAAGGAGUUUAACUCAAGUCUGGUGGAUGUUGGUGAGGAUGUUAGUCAGGAUGUUGAUGACGAUGGCAUCGACACGCUCCAGGUCCGUUUCUUCAAAUAUUAG
RNAcentral lists this ribosomal RNA (366 nucleotides) under Triticum aestivum (bread wheat). RNAcentral describes it as "partial small subunit ribosomal RNA". Lineage: Eukaryota; Viridiplantae; Streptophyta; Magnoliopsida; Poales; Poaceae. The record is from RNAcentral.